This 823-nucleotide ribosomal RNA is filed under the name Wolbachia pipientis. RNAcentral describes it as "bacterial SSU rRNA". It matches the Rfam family "Bacterial small subunit ribosomal RNA", at positions 102 to 963 of the family's 1533-position model. The record is from RNAcentral. Lineage: Bacteria; Pseudomonadati; Pseudomonadota; Alphaproteobacteria; Rickettsiales; Anaplasmataceae.
ACGGGUGAGUAAUAUAUAGGAAUCUACCUAGUAGUAUGGAAUAAUUGUUGGAAACGGCAACUAAUACCGUAUACGCCCUACGGGGGAAAAAUUUAUUGCUAUUGGAUGAGCCUAUAUUAGAUUAGCUAGUUGGUGGAGUAAUAGCCUACCAAGGCAAUGAUCUAUAGCUGAUCUGAGAGGAUGAUCAGCCACACUGGAACUGAGAUACGGUCCAGACUCCUACGGGAGGCAGCAGUGGGGAAUAUUGGACAAUGGGCGAAAGCCUGAUCCAGCCAUGCCGCAUGAGUGAAGAAGGCCUUUGGGUUGUAAAGCUCUUUUAGUGAGGAAGAUAAUGACGGUACUCACAGAAGAAGUCCUGGCUAACUCCGUGCCAGCAGCCGCGGUAAUACGGAGAGGGCUAGCGUUAUUCGGAAUUAUUGGGCGUAAAGGGCGCGUAGGCUGGUUAAUAAGUUAAAAGUGAAAUCCCGAGGCUUAACCUUGGAAUUGCUUUUAAGACUAUUAAUCUAGAGAUUGAAAGAGGAUAGAGGAAUUCCUGAUGUAGAGGUAAAAUUCGUAAAUAUUAGGAGGAACACCAGUGGCGAAGGCGUCUAUCUGGUUCAAAUCUGACGCUGAAGCGCGAAGGCGUGGGGAGCAAACAGGAUUAGAUACCCUGGUAGUCCACGCUGUAAACGAUGAAUGUUAAAUAUGGGAAGUUUACUUUCUGUAUUACAGCUAACGCGUUAAACAUUCCGCCUGGGGACUACGGUCGCAAGAUUAAAACUCAAAGGAAUUGACGGGGACCCGCACAAGCGGUGGAGCAUGUGGUUUAAUUCGAUGCAACGCG